This is a non-coding RNA of Hammondia hammondi, 73 nucleotides long. The record is from Rfam. Lineage: Eukaryota; Apicomplexa; Conoidasida; Eucoccidiorida; Sarcocystidae.
GCCCUAGUGGCGCAAUGGAUAGCGCGUUGGACUUCUAAUCCAAAGGUUGUGGGUUCGAGUCCCACCUGGGGUG